UGAAUGCUGACAUGAGUAGCGUUAAAGGGGGUGAAAAGCCCCCUCGCCGAAAGCGCAAGGUUUCCUACGCAACGUUCAUCGGCGUAGGGUGAGUCGGCCCCUAAGGCGAGGCAGAGAUGCGUAGCUGAUGGGAAACAGGUCAAUAUUCCUGUACCGAUAUGCAGUGCGAUGUGGGGACGGAGAAGGUUAGCUCGGCCGGGUGUUGGAUGUCCCGGUUCAAGCCUGUAGUCGUGCCUGGUAGGCAAAUCCGCCGGGCUUAGAUGAGAGGUGAUAACGAGGAGGCUUGCCUCCGAAGCGAGUGAUACCCUGCUUCCAGGAAAAGCCACUAAGCUUCAGCUGCAUACGACCGUACCGCAUAUCGACACUGGUGCGCGAGAUGAGUAUUCUAAGGCGCUUGAGAGAACUCUGGAGAAGGAACUCGGCAAAUUGACACCGUAACUUCGGAAGAAGGUGUGCCUUUAGUAGGUGAUCCCGUACAGGGGGAGCCCAAUGAGGCCGCAGAGAAUCGGUGGCUGCGACUGUUUAUUAAAAACACAGCACUCUGCAAAGACGAAAGUCGACGUAUAGGGUGUGACGCCUGCCCGGUGCUGGAAGAUUAAAUGAUGGGGUGCAAGCUCUUGAUUGAAGUCCCAGUAAACGGCGGCCGUAACAAUAACGGUCCUAAGGUAGCGAAAUUCCUUGUCGGGUAAGUUCCGACCUGCACGAAUGGCGUAACGAUGGCCACACUGUCUCCUCCAGAGACUCAGCGAAGUUGAAAUGUUUGUGAUGAUGCAAUCUCCCCGCGGAAAGACGGAAAGACCCCAUGAACCUUUACUGUAGCUUUACAUUGGACUUUGAACAGAUCUGUGUAGGAUAGGUGGGAGGCUUUGAAGCGGUGCCGCUAGGUGCCGUGGAGCCAACGUUGAAAUACCACCCUGGUGUGUUUGAGGUUCUAACCUUGGCCCGUGAUCCGGGUUGGGGACAGUGUAUGGUAGGCAGUUUGACUGGGGCGGUCUCCUCCCAAAGCGUAACGGAGGAGUUCGAAGGUACGCUAGGCACGGUCGGAAAUCGUGCUGAUAGUGCAUAGGCAUAAGCGUGCUUGACUGCGAGACUGACAAGUCGAGCAGGUACGAAAGUAGGACUAAGUGAUCCGGUGGUUCUGCAUGGAAGGGCCAUCGCUCAACGGAUAAAAGGUACUCUGGGGAUAACAGGCUGAUACCGCCCAAGAGUUCAUAUCGACGGCGGUGUUUGGCACCUCGAUGUCGGCUCAUCUCAUCCUGGGGCUGUAGCCGGUCCCAAGGGUAUGGCUGUUCGCCAUUUAAAGAGGUACGUGAGCUGGGUUUAAAACGUCGUGAGACAGUUUGGUCCCUAUCUUCCGUGGGCGCUGCAAGAUUGAGAGAGCCUGCUCCUAGUACGAGAGGACCGGAGUGGACGCACCUCUGGUGUAUCGGUUGUCACGCCCGUGGCAUUGCCGAGUAGCUAAGUGCGGAAGAGAUAACCGCUGAAAGCAUCUAAGCGGGAAACUCGUCUCAAGAUGAGUCUUGCCGGGGCCUUGAGCCCCCUGAAGAGUCGUUCGAGACCAGGACGUUGAUAGGCCGGGUGUGGA
This 1585-nucleotide ribosomal RNA is filed under the name metagenome. RNAcentral's name for it is "bacterial LSU rRNA". It matches the Rfam family "Bacterial large subunit ribosomal RNA", at positions 1291 to 2871 of the family's 2925-position model. The record is from RNAcentral.